AUUGAACGCUGGCGGCAUGCCUUACACAUGCAAGUCGAACGGCAGCACGGGAGCAAUCCUGGUGGCGAGUGGCGAACGGGUGAGUAAUGUAUCGGAACGUGCCCAGUCGUGGGGGAUGACGUAGCGAAAGCUACGCUAAUACCGCAUACGAUCUAUGGAUGAAAGCGGGGGAUCGCAGGACCUCGCGCGAUUGGAGCGGCCGAUAUCAGAUUUGGUAGUUGGUGGGGUAAAGGCUCACCAAGCCGACGAUCUGUAGCUGGUCUGAGAGGACGACCAGCCACACUGGGACUGAGACACGGCCCAGACUCCUACGGGAGGCAGCAGUGGGGAAUUUUGGACAAUGGGCGCAAGCCUGAUCCAGCAAUGCCGCGUGCAGGAUGAAGGCCUUCGGGUUGUAAACUGCUUUUGUACGGAACGAAACGGCGAGCUCUAAUACAGUUUGCUAAUGACGGUACCGUAAGAAUAAGCACCGGCUAACUACGUGCCAGCCGCCGCGGUAA
Molecule: ribosomal RNA, 500 nt
Filed under: uncultured bacterium
Lineage: Bacteria
Description: partial 16S ribosomal RNA
Rfam family: Bacterial small subunit ribosomal RNA
Source: RNAcentral